Non-coding RNA from Musa acuminata subsp. malaccensis (wild Malaysian banana), 405 nucleotides. The record is from RefSeq and is a predicted model, not a curated record. Lineage: Eukaryota; Viridiplantae; Streptophyta; Magnoliopsida; Zingiberales; Musaceae.
CCAUAACUUUAAUGCUGCCCAGGUCCCAAACCAAACUUGCAGUCGGAAGAUACCUCUCCUUUACUGGAUGUCAACCCUGAUACAAAUGGUGGAGAGGAAAAUGACCUGGGGGCCCCAGACCACCAUGUUGGAAAGCGAGCUCAUCUAGGCCUAUCAUUCUCAGAUGCAGAAAUUGAUUAUCAGAGAGCACGGAGUUUGAGAGAAGCCAAUACCCUACUGGUAUGGCGGAACUCACUGCAUUAACUGAACCGCUCGUCUCUCCCAGUUGUUGCAGACAGUGCAGGGUUAUGGUGAUUGGUGAAUUCUACUUCCGAUUCCAUUUCCAUAGCCAAGUCUUUGUCUGGAUGAAGACAUUAAUCCCAUUGUUAAAUGUUGUAUAGAACUGCCAGCUUGUCGGCUAUGCUA